CAGUGGGGAAUUUUCCGCAAUGGGCGAAAGCCUGACGGAGCAAUACCGCGUGAGGGAAGAAUGCCUAUGGGUUGUAAACCUCUUUUUUCAGGGAGGAAUAAAAUGACGUGUACCUGAAGAAUAAGCAUCGGCUAACUCCGUGCCAGCAGCCGCGGUAAGACGGAGGAUGCAAGUGUUAUCCGGAAUCACUGGGCGUAAAGCGUCUGUAGGUGGUUUAAUAAGUCAACUGUUAAAUCUUGAUGGCUCAACUUCAAAAUCGCAGUCGAAACUAUUAGACUAGAGUAUAGUAGAGGUAAAGGGAAUUUCCAGUGGAGCGGUGAAAUGCGUAGAUAUUGGAAAGAACACCGAUGGCGAAAGCACUUUACUGGGCUAUUACUAACACUCAGAGACGAAAGCUAGGGUAGCAAAUGGGAUUAGAUACCCCAGUAGUCCUAGCUGUAAACAAUGGAUACUAGAUGUUGAACAGAUCGACCUGUGCAGUAUC
Molecule: ribosomal RNA, 484 nt
Filed under: uncultured bacterium
Lineage: Bacteria
Description: bacterial SSU rRNA
Rfam family: Bacterial small subunit ribosomal RNA
Source: RNAcentral